RNA transcript from Carya illinoinensis, 2395 nucleotides. It is a transcript of the gene named probable methyltransferase PMT9, with no coding region annotated. Lineage: Eukaryota; Viridiplantae; Streptophyta; Magnoliopsida; Fagales; Juglandaceae. The transcript has 9 exons. The record is from RefSeq and is a predicted model, not a curated record.
CUCUGUCUCCCGCGAAAAUCCAACGGAGCAUCUAUUUUGCUUUCACGGGCUCACACUCGAUCUCAGCCUGUCUGUAACUGGAUAUACUGCAUUGCUCCUAGGGCUCUUAGCUUUUCCAAGAUUAAAGUUGAUUUCGGGUCGGAUCUACCGGACUCCGCUUGAGGAAAAUGAAGCGCAAGGGCGAGCUGAGUUCCAUCUCUAAACUGCUUAAGUAUGUCCUUGUAGGUCUCAUUGCGCUUCUCGGGUUGGCUUGUUUGUUCUACGGGUCGUCCGUAGCUCCGGGCUCGCGUAGAUCUGACGACGAAGCUCACGGCUUCGACGGAAACGACCCCGUUAUCGGCGGCUUCGUUCGGAAUCACGAUCCCGAAGAUUUGCUUGAGGACCAAGAGCACAAUCCUGAGGUCCCCAAAAGCAUUCCUAUCUGUGAUUUGAGAUUCUCGGAGUUGAUACCAUGUUUAGAUAGAAACCUUAUCUACCAACUGAAAUGGAAGCCCAAUUUGAUGUUAAUGGAGCACUAUGAACGUCACUGCCCACCUCAGGAGCGCCGAUAUAAUUGCCUGGUUCCACCGCCAGUUGGUUAUAAGGUCCCUAUAAGAUGGCCGGCAAGUAGGGAUGAAGUGUGGAAGGCAAAUAUACCCCACACACAUCUUGCACAAGAGAAAUCGGACCAGAAUUGGAUGAUUGUUAAUGGGGAUAAGAUAAAUUUUCCUGGUGGAGGUACCCAUUUCCAUUAUGGAGCUGACAAGUACAUCAUUUCCCUUGCUAAGAUGCUGAAGUUUCCGGGUGAUAAACUCCACAACGGUGGAAAUAUACGAAAUGUUUUUGAUGUGGGUUGUGGUGUUGCAAGUUUUGGAGCCUAUCUUCUUCCCCUCGACAUCAUAGCUAUGUCCCUUGCACCUAAUGAUGUACAUGAGAAUCAAAUACAAUUUGCACUAGAGAGGGGCAUUCCAGCAACUCUUGGUGUAUUGGCUACCAAAAGACUUCCUUAUCCUAGCAGAUCAUUUGAACUGGCUCAUUGUUCACGUUGUCGAAUUGAUUGGCUUCAAAGAGAUGGAAUUCUCUUAUUAGAACUCGACAGAUUACUAAGACCCGGAGGGUACUUCGUAUAUUCUUCUCCUGAAGCUUAUGCGCGUGAUCCAGAAAAUCGAAGGAUCUGGAAUGAUAUGUACAAUCUUCUAAAAAGAAUGUGCUGGAGAGUUGUUGCAAAGCAAGGCCAGACUGUUAUAUGGGCAAAGCCACUGACAAAUAGCUGUUACUUGAAGAGAGAACCUCAGACAUUGCCCGUUUUGUGCAGUUCUGAUGAUGAUCCUGAUGCAACUUGGAAUGUGUCCAUGAAGGCGUGCAUCUCCCCCUACUCUGCAAAGAUGCACAAACAGAAGGGGAGUGGGCUAGUUCCUUGGCCACAGAGGCUUACUGCAGCACCCCCUCGCCUGGAAGAAAUAGGUGUGAGCAGGGAGGAAUUCCAAGAGGACAUCAGCAUUUGGCGUUUUAGAGUUAUUGAAUACUGGAAGCAGAUGAAAUCUGCCACACAGAAGGAUUCCAUCAGAAAUGUUAUGGAUAUGAACUCAAAUCUUGGUGGGUUUGCUGCUGCCCUUGGUGACAAAGAUGUGUGGGUGAUGAAUGUUGCCCCUGUCAGUGCAUCUGCCAGAUUAAAGAUUAUAUAUGAUCGAGGCUUAAUUGGAACUGUUCAUGACUGGUGUGAAGCAUUUUCUACAUAUCCACGUACAUAUGAUCUUCUGCAUGCCUGGACGGUGUUUUCAGAGAUUGAUAAACAUGGGUGUAGUGCAGAGGAUCUACUGAUUGAAAUGGAUCGAAUGCUACGACCAGAUGGGAUUGUCAUCAUUAGAGACAAACCUUCUGUCAUAAACUAUAUUCGGAAGUUUGUGACUGCCUUAAGGUGGGAUGGCUGGGUAUCAGAAGUAGAACCGAGGAUUGAUGCACUCUCCUUGAGCGAAGAAAGAGUUUUGAUUGCAAAAAAGAAGUUGUGGGAUGAGGCAAUUAUAACGAUAUGAAUCUGUUUCUGGUCAGUCAGAUGAAGAAAGACUGCGGGAAAUAUUAUAUAGGCAUGCGAGCUGCACUUCUGGGACUCUCUUCAGUCUCAGCCACCAUGGAAAACGAAGUAUGAGGUGACAAGAGUCAGGAAGCUGAUUUCAGUCGCUACUUGGGACCAAGAUUUGAAUUUCCCAAUGUCUACAAGUAUGCGACAGACGGAUAGAAUCCUUCUCUGUGGAAUGAGUAACUAUGCAGAAAUACAGUGAACGCUGAUAACCAUUACCAUUCAUGACAAGUACAGACAUACAUUCAUAAGUAGAUUGUUUUUGUAUUCAUUGGCAUGUUAUUUAAAAAAAAAAAAAAAUUAAAUUAACGCAUAAUUAAUCUGAAAAUUGUUACCUAA